Molecule: ribosomal RNA, 141 nt
Filed under: uncultured bacterium
Lineage: Bacteria
Description: partial 16S ribosomal RNA
Rfam family: Bacterial small subunit ribosomal RNA
Source: RNAcentral
CUACGGGAGGCAGCAGUGGGGAAUUUUGGACAAUGGGGGCAACCCUGAUCCAGCAAUGCCGCGUGUGUGAAGAAGGCCUUCGGGUUGUAAAGCACUUUUGUCCGGAAAGAAAACGCCGUGGUUAAUACCCGUGGCGGAUGA